Molecule: non-coding RNA, 135 nt
Filed under: Bacteroides stercorirosoris
Lineage: Bacteria; Pseudomonadati; Bacteroidota; Bacteroidia; Bacteroidales; Bacteroidaceae
Source: RNAcentral
CCUGUUAUUCCGUUAGCAGAGCCUAGGGAGACAUGCAUGUUUAGUAAUGAAUGUGUAUGAAGCUUUCCCGACACCGAAGUCCGUCCCAGGAGGAGUGAAUGCCGCGAGGUUGCAGCAACCAAUCCAAGCAUCAUG